Diabrotica virgifera virgifera (western corn rootworm) is the source of this 5591-nucleotide long non-coding RNA. RefSeq lists it as uncharacterized. The record is from RefSeq and is a predicted model, not a curated record. The transcript has 2 exons. Lineage: Eukaryota; Metazoa; Arthropoda; Insecta; Coleoptera; Chrysomelidae.
UAUUACAGGUUUGAUAUAUUUAAUAUUUGACAGCAGUAUAAGAUACCUGGGAAAAUGAUCGAAGAUCAUUUUCAUGGCGCCCAUGAUUUGUUAGAUUUAUUUAUCUUGUUCGUCUUUAGCAAUUAUCCAUCUUCAUUCAGUUUCAGUACAUUAUUCUUAUUUUAUUAUUUCAUCUUUUAGUCAUCAUUACUAUCUAUAUAGAGCUACUGUUCUUCGACAGGCAUGCAAACGAGCCGUAUCCAUCCUUGAGUGUCAAGUUGCUCUCUUGCAUCUCUAGCUAGCCAACUCUAUUCAGUUUGCCUCUGUCUCUUCCCACUUCUACUUCUAUCCCUUCUCAUUCCCCUUUCUUCAGUACUACUGCAAAGUAGUAUUUAGUAUUUUUCCUAUUGCGGCUUCUCAACGUAGAAGCCACUUCACCCCUUCUUUACAGCCCAUCUCUCUACAUCUAUGUCCCAUUAGUUAUUUAUUUACUUUUUUCCUUACUUCUGUUGGAGUAUAUCUUGCUUUUUACUUUCACUCCAACAGAAGUUUUCUUCUUUUUGUUACACUGGCUGCCCAAUGCGUGGUGCCAACCGUUUUAUGGUUCUAAGACAGUAGUUCUUUUAGUUCAAUUUUCUUUUAUUGGAAUUUUCUGUUUUAUUAACUUUUUGAUAUCUUUGUAUAUAUGUUAUUUCUGAUUUAUUUUUGUCUUUAAUUUUUAUUAAUAAUAAACAGGUAGACUUAUACUGCUUCUUUUGGUUUUGGUUAGUUUAUUUUUGAUACCUCAUUUUCAGUUAUAGUGGUACAGCUCAUAUUUUAGUUUGAAUUUUGUAUUUUUAUUGGAAACUUAUUUAUGUAUUUAGAUUGAGUAUACAUAACUGACAUUAUGUUCUAUUAGUUAAAUUUUUAUUCCUUCUACCAAUGGUAGUACAUUUGCGCGUACAAUUAAUCGUUGAAUAUAUGUAUACAUUUUUUUCUAGUAUGGUUAUAUUUUAUACAUAACUAGAAAUCAUUUUCAGUAUUUAGGUAUUUUAUUUACUUUAUUGAUUUGAUUAUUUAUAUAUUUUGCUGGCAUUUUGAUUUGUUGGUGUGUCGCUAAUAUUUUCUCCAUAUGUAUCUUUGUCUUACAAACUUUAGAUUAUAUUUUAUAUUUGUUAUUUUUGAUAUUUGGGUUGUUUGGUAAGACAGGCACACACCACAAAGCAAUAUCAGUCCAGAACAUUAGCUUCUAUACAUGAUACGUUGAAUUCGCAUGGUUCGGAUGAUUACAGAUGGUCAUCCAAAUUAUUUUUCUUUAAUUGGUAGUGUUAAACAUUACAAUGAUAAAUUGUAUAGUUAAGUAGUUCCACUAUCCAUCUCAUAUUCCAGUUUUGUUAAAUUUUGGUAAUAAUAUUAUAUCAGUGUGGGUACCAUAAUAUAAUGCUUAUAUGAAUCAGAUACUUUAGGUUGAGAUUCAAAUAUAAAUUCUUUAUUAGUUAGGAAACAUUGAUACUACUUUUCUAUUAAGUUAUAGAACAAUCUUCAGAAGAAGAUUACCUUAACAGUGUUGUUCAAGCUAAUCUCUUCUUCUGUUUGUCUUUAGCUUAGCUCAAUCUUUAGUAUGGUUAUAACUUUUAGUCCAAUAUUGUUUUUUUAUCAUAUGAUAAUGCAGGUACCCACAUAAACUGCUUGAUUUCAUCUUUGGCUUAGUUUUGAUGACAUUUAUUUAUUACUUAUUAAUUUAAUUAUUAUGUAGUACUUUAUGUAUGAGUUUAUUUUUUUUAUUAUUAGGUAUGGUGCAUUUUAAUUAUUAUUAUGAGUCAAUAUUAUUAAUUGUUGAUCCUGUCAGUAGGAUUACACAAUUGAUAAUAACUUCACUUGUAUUUUUGUUCAGUUUUUGCACACCUAACCCCUAAGUUAGUAAGGUUGUUAACUUAUUAUAUAUUUAUAUAGUUGGAUAGGUAAGCUCAUACAAGUACUCUUGUUUAAUAAUGGAUAUUAUGAUGGAACUAUGUUAACUACCAUAUCUCAGGUUACGUGUUAUAUUAUUUUGAAUAUUUGAUUACUUACUAAUUUUUUUAUUAUUUUUGAUAUAUUGUUAUUGAAUUUGCCAUAUUGGAAAGAUGUGGUUUUUAAUUUGUUAUUGGGUUACUCUAUUAACAUUUGUCUCCAAUAUCUUAAACACUUAAUAAUAAUUUAUAUCCUUCUAUCCUACACACUAUGAUUCUGGAAUUAGUUUGGAAUGUUGAUGUAAGUAUGUAUGAAUUCUUGAGUCUUUCACAUUUCUGCUUAUGAUUAGUCUGUCAAUACUCUGAUUUGUGAAUGCGUGGGUUCGAAGUUGUUGCUCAGCAACUGAUCACUGCUGUUUGACUGGCUUCGUAAUCUUUGUCUUUCAUGGCAGAGUAGGCAGACGUUUUACCAUUAUAAUAUUUCUUGUUAGGAAAUGACGGUCGCAUGUCCUAACCAUUCUUCUGUAAUUAGUCCAAGUAUUCCAGUUUUUUUUUACAAUUUAAUAGGGAAGUAUUUAGUUCAUAUUAGGCCUUUUACUUCAUAGUAUGUUUGUACUUUGAGUUGAUGAGUAAACAUGGAUAAAUAUCUUGCGCACUUGUUUAUAAAUCAAUGCUUAGGCCAUCCCUAUACAUAGUAGGUUCGUUAAGUCAGUAUUUGGAGUGUUUAGACAGAUGAGUUGUUCAUUUGAGUAUAUUCCCACUUCUUUCCUUAAGCAUUAGUUUUGCUAUUCAGAUUCUGGAAUAUUUCCUGAAUAAUUCCACGUAUGUGAGAGCGCAUAAAUCUGCAGUUUUAAUUUAAACUUGUUGCUCGUUCUCGUCAAUUUUUUUUUCUUAUCACUUAUCCUAUUUUUUUUUCCUAUACCCUAUCACAUAUUUUUUUUGCCUAUCACUUAUCAUAGUGUCAUAGAACUUACGAGUUCAUCAUGUAUUCUUUUUCUUUCUUACUUAUUCUUACGUUAUUAGUACCUUAUCUGAGUCUGGUUAUUCUCAUACAUCUGUUGUAGCAACAUGCUAUAGUUCGCGAAUACCAGCACGAAUUAAGUUUAUGUAGUUUCUAUAAUAUCUUAGUCAAUACACUUUAGGUAUUUAUCUUACUUUUGAUUUAGUCAGGUUACAUCUCUGUUACUUAGUCUGUUAGCAAUGUUUAUUCUGACUUAUUUGGAUUACUUAGUUUAGAUAGGUUCAUAUUACCGGAUGAGGGUGUAUGUAGACCUAAUUUAUUUAUUUUGUUCAGUAUUAGUUACCAUUGGAUCCAAUAAUUUAGUUUAUUUAGUAUUAGUAAGAAUUGGUCCAUAAAUUUGCCUGAUCGUUCUUCUUUGGAUAUACUCCUAUAUAAAUCUGGUGUCCAUUGAUAGUCCGAUUCUGGAUAAGUGUCUGAUUCUUCAUUUAUUUUGUGUAUUUGGUUGGAUAGGUCCGUAUUACCGGAUGUGGGUGUACGUAGACCUGAUCUGUUUAUGUGGAUUAGUAUUGGUGUGAAUUGGUCCAUAAAUUCGCCUGGUCGUUCUUCUUUGGAUAUGCCUUUUAUGAAUCUGGUGUCCACUGAUAGUUCGACUUUGGAUUACGUGUCCGAUUCCACAUUUAUUUUGGUUAUUGAGUUUUGGAUUCCUUUGGUAUGUUUAUUAUUGGUAUUAUUUGGCAUUAGUGAGAGUUGUUCCAUAAAUCUUCCUGAUUGUUCUUCUCUGGAUAUACUAUUAUGAAUCUGGUGUCCAUUGUUAGUUCAAUUUUGGAUUAAGUGUUCAAUUCUUUACUUAUUUUAGUUACUGAUUUUUUUUAUUCACUUUGGUACAUUUACUUUUGAUAUGGUUCGAAUUGGCUCACACCUUUCCUGGUUGUUCCGUCCUUGGAUAUAUCCUUUAUAAAUCUGAUGUCCAUGGAUAGCUCAAUUUUGGUUUUAGUGCCCAAUUCGACACUUAGUUAUUAUUAUGAACUUUAGUACAAUAUUUAGUUUUGUUUUGAUUUUUAAGCAAUAUUAUGUUAAUAUUUGGUAGCAGAGAGUAACAUAGUAACAUUUUAGUAUGAGUUUGAGUCAUGUAUUGAUUUAUUUUUCCUGAUCAUCAGUUCAUUCUUAUUGGUAACCUUGCGAAUAAACGUGGAUUGUUAGACUAUUGUAAAUUUAGUUGUUAAUAUUUUGAAGUUUAAAAAAAAAAAAAAAUUUUUUUGGUUAAAAAAUUUUUUUUCCCGAGUAGGAGGGGAUUGUAACGGUCCACCCGUUAUAUUAUCAUUUUUAGCGCUGUAAUUAUUUUUAAAAAAAUAAUUAUUUUCUCUUGACCUCCCAUUUAAAUUCUUUAAUUUAUCGUAAAGGACUUCUCAUGUGACGUCACACUGUACGGAACAUAGUUGUUGAACCGUUCCUUGUCGUUUAAUUCGUGUUCCGUGAGAGUUUGACGUUUUCCUCGCUGACUGUGGGAGGAAUGAGAGGCACUUGGCCGGUGGCUGCGAGGUUGACAGGUUGGUGUUGGUGGUUAGUACCGUAAAUGGCGGUUAAUUUCUUCGAAAUUAAUUUUUAUUUCAACUAAGUUUGGAAGUAUAGUAAAAAGUUACCACCACUUGUUUCCUGGAGUACGGGUUUCCUGGAGUAAGGAUGGGAGUACCAUCAGUGGAAGAGGAAUAAAAAAUUAACCGCCAUUUGGAAGAAAACUAACCCUCAUGUGAUGUCGUACCCACCUUGACUACCUAGGGAAGCCACCUUGACCUUAUUGCAGCUACCGCCAAGUCAAACUGGGAGUAUGUUUUGGGAACAAGCUUUUUGGGGGACAUUCCAGCUCCUUUUCGUCCUGCCACCUGGGCCUACGGGGGGCAUGGAGGUGCAUCAUAGUGAUGCUCAUUUUCUAGGAUGCAACCGCAACCUCGUUUGGGAACAUUUAGUGAGGAGUUUUAGUAACUAUUGGUUUUUUUUUAUAUUUCAGACUAUCUGUUAAAUACACUAUGUUUUUUUUCCAGAUUUAGGUUACCUCUGUUUUUUUUUGACAUAUGUAUUUGUAUAUUAGAUUAUUUGGUUCCCAAACUUUGUAUCUACGGUAACUUCUUGUGCACAGGAAUAAGCCUAGAGAAAAUUAGGUUUUUAAUACUUUAUUAUUGCUUUGAUAUUGGUUUAUGUAAUUCGGGUAAAUUUAUUUUGUAACAUUACUUGCUUGUUUCCCAAAUAUUGUAUUUAUUCGCUUUAUUUCGUUUGUUCGGUUACUUCGUCGUUACUUUAUUUCAUUGCAUUUGCUCAGUUAAUUUAGGUCAUUUUGUCGGUAUUUUUCUUAACUUCACUUCUAUAACGUUUAUUCAUUUGUAUAUUUAAUUUUGCUUUAUUCAGUAUUGUAUUUUCUCUUAGUGAGGCUUGGGCCUAUUUAUUUGUAUUAUUUUCAUCUUCGUCGGUUUCCUUUAGUUGUACGUAGUGGGCGUACUAUAACCAUUUGGUAGAAGAUUUAUGUAAUUUUGUACCCUAUAUGUUAGUAAGAGGUACUUAUAUUUAAGUUUGUAACAGAUAACAUUAUUGUUGUUAUCUUUAAAAUAUAUAUAUAUCUUCUUGUAUAACUUAUGUCAUUUUAGAGUCACAGCAUAAUAUGAACUUGCUUAACUCAGAGAUUGUUAAAAAUCUGGUAGUUAUUUUUAAUAAAUAUGUUUAUUUAUUUUGUA